This 459-nucleotide ribosomal RNA is filed under the name uncultured bacterium. Its description in RNAcentral is "partial 16S ribosomal RNA". It matches the Rfam family "Bacterial small subunit ribosomal RNA", at positions 338 to 795 of the family's 1533-position model. The record is from RNAcentral.
CCUACGGGAGGCAGCAGUGAGGAAUAUUGGUCAAUGGUCGGGAGACUGAACCAGCCAAGCCGCGUGAGGGAGGAAGGUACAGAGUAUCGUAAACCUCUUUUGUCAGGGAACAAAGGCGGGGACGUGUCCCCGGAUGAGUGUACCUGAAGAAAAAGCAUCGGCUAACUCCGUGCCAGCAGCCGCGGUAAUACGGAGGAUGCGAGCGUUAUCCGGAUUUAUUGGGGUUAAAGGGUGCGCAGGCGGUCUGUUAAGUCAGCGGUCAAAGCCCGGGGCUCAACCCCGGCCCGCCGUUGAAACUGGCAGUCUCGAGUUGGAGAGAAGUAGGCGGAAUGCGCGGUGUAGCGGUGAAAGGCAUAGAUAUCGCGCAGAACUCCGAUUGCGAAGGCAGCAUGCCGGAUCCACACUGACGCUGAGGCACGAAAGCGUGGGUAUCGAACAGGAUUAGAUACCCCUGUAGUC